UCCUAUUGCACUCUGGAGUACAACCCUCUCUGUGGGUCCAACGGCGUCACCUAUUCUAAUGACUGCAACUUCUGCGCUGCCAAACGAGAAAAAGGAAGUAGGAUUUUGGUCCGUCAUCGCGGGGAAUGUAAAGAGAAGAAGCAGCAGCCUCUUGAAACUGAACCUUUAUCUGUUGAUUGUCGAGCUACGGUCCUUUUUGCA
Clupea harengus (Atlantic herring) is the source of this 201-nucleotide long non-coding RNA. RefSeq lists it as uncharacterized. The record is from RefSeq and is a predicted model, not a curated record. NCBI's taxonomy places the organism in Eukaryota, Metazoa, Chordata, Actinopteri, Clupeiformes, Clupeidae. The transcript has 3 exons.